RNAcentral lists this unclassified non-coding RNA (339 nucleotides) under soil metagenome. RNAcentral's name for it is "partial contains 5.8S ribosomal RNA, internal transcribed spacer 2, and large subunit ribosomal RNA". The stretch from base 2 to 121 matches the Rfam family "5.8S ribosomal RNA", at positions 35 to 154 of the family's 154-position model. The record is from RNAcentral.
AGAUGAAGAACGUAGCGAAAUGCGAUAAGUAGUGUGAAUUGCAGAAUUCAGUGAAUCAUCGAAUCUUUGAACGCACAUUGCGGCCAUAGGUAUUCCUUUGGCCAUGCCUGUUCGAGCGUCAUUUACACCCUCAAGCUCAUGCUUGGUGUUGGGCGUCUGUCCGCGCUUUCGGCGCGGACUCGCCCCAAAUCCAUUGGCAGCGGCUCCGCCGGCUUCUCGCGCAGCACUUUGCGAUCUUGAAGGCUUUCGGCGGGCUCGCGUCCAUCAAGUAACCCCCAAUUUUGACCUCGAAUCAGGUAGGGAUACCCGCUGAACUUAAGCAUAUCAAUAAGCGGAGGA